This is a long non-coding RNA of Aplysia californica (California sea hare), 608 nucleotides long. RefSeq lists it as uncharacterized. Lineage: Eukaryota; Metazoa; Mollusca; Gastropoda; Aplysiida; Aplysiidae. The record is from RefSeq and is a predicted model, not a curated record. The transcript is spliced from 2 exons.
AAAGUGACUGAUGAGUAGAAUUCGGAGAUCCAACAGCCAAUCAGCAGACAGCUGCUUGGUGAAUACAAUUCAGUUCGUGCUCUCUUAGGGCACUAUGAGCAGAAAUUAAUCAGUUUGAAGCUGGCGACAUUUCAGGUAGCUCUACUUGAGAUUCCAGUAGUAAAACUACAUUGGACACUGCCUUCCCGUCUCCUGUGCUAAUGAAACCGAGGCGAUCAGGCGACACAUAGAGAUUUAGAUUCCAUUAUAUCUUAGCAAAUAUUCAGAAAGACAGCACCCACAUGAGAAGCCAACAGCUGACAGUCACCCAAGAAGCUGACACCCUGCCCAGACAGCACGGACCUUCCACUCUCUUAAACAACCAGCCAGAUGAGUAUAUACUGCCACAGCUACCCUGAAAUGGACUUCCGUCAGUUACACCAGCGAACAAUAACUGGCAACUAUAACAGCUGACUGUGCACUUUGAUUUCUCAAGCUUAUGUGAAAUUGUGCGGAUAGGGCUGUAAAAACAUGGACUCAACGCCAGAAAGAUUCUUUGUAUGAUGUACUGUUUCAGAAUAUUGUACAGAAGCUGCUUCACUAUAUGAGAUCACUGAACUAGAAAGAUG